AAAUUGGCAUUCUUUACUUACAGGAGGUAUACCACUGAGAAUUAGAAAAGUAAUGUUAAGGUAUAUACUACACCAAUAUUUUUCAGUUGUUUAUAAGUUUCAUUAACAUUUUUUUUUAAAAUCAGACUUUCUUUUGGUUAAUUGUUGUGGUGUGGGAUGUUGGUUACUUUGCCUAACUAAAAAGUGAACUCAGUAAAAGGCUUGGUCCUUUUAAUACUCCUCUAAAUCUCUCCACUAAAUAUUUUCUCUUUCUAAAAAUAAAAAUUUCUCCUCCUUCUAGUCUAUUCCAUACUCAAGCAAUCAGUUACAAGAAACCCCAAAUUUAAAAGUUUGGAUGG
This 338-nucleotide long non-coding RNA is filed under the name Bos taurus (domestic cattle). RNAcentral describes it as "long non-coding RNA NONBTAT001387". Lineage: Eukaryota; Metazoa; Chordata; Mammalia; Artiodactyla; Bovidae. The record is from RNAcentral.